CUGGAACGCGCCCCGGCGCACCCAGAAACCCUUUGUGAACCUAUACCUUACUGUUGCCUCGGCGCAGGCCGGCCUCCCAGCUGAGGCCCCCCGGAGACGGGGAGCAGCCCGCCGGCGGCCAAGUUAACUCUUGUUUCUACAGUGGAUCUCUGAAGUAAAAACAUAAAUGAAUCA
This 174-nucleotide unclassified non-coding RNA is filed under the name uncultured Ascomycota. Its description in RNAcentral is "sequence contains ITS1". Lineage: Eukaryota; Fungi; Ascomycota. The record is from RNAcentral.